Molecule: long non-coding RNA, 264 nt
Organism: Rana temporaria (common frog)
Lineage: Eukaryota; Metazoa; Chordata; Amphibia; Anura; Ranidae
Exons: 3
Source: RefSeq, a predicted model, not a curated record
GAAGUAGAGAGGAGACAUUGCUGGAAUCGGUAGCAGAGGAGAUCUAGAGUUUUCCUGCUGUGAAGUCUGGAGAUCACAUGACCAUCACAUUGCCUCCACCUCCCUCCCUGAUAGGAUAGAGAAAUACAAAGAAGAUUCUAGAAGUCACCAGAGAGAUCAUCGAGGAGAGGUGGGCGGUGCCGGGAAGGACGUCACGAUGAAGAAGCGGCCUCCCCUCACAUCACCGGAUGGAUCCAGUAAUGGGAACCCACCAGAGAGAUGUCC